This 384-nucleotide ribosomal RNA is filed under the name uncultured bacterium. RNAcentral describes it as "bacterial SSU rRNA". It matches the Rfam family "Bacterial small subunit ribosomal RNA", at positions 29 to 414 of the family's 1533-position model. The record is from RNAcentral.
AUUGAACGCUGGCGGCAUGCCUUACACAUGCAAGUCGAACGGCAGCGCGGGAGCAAUCCUGGCGGCGAGUGGCGAACGGGUGAGUAAUAUAUCGGAACGUGCCCAGUAGUGGGGGAUAGCCCGGCGAAAGCCGGAUUAAUACCGCAUGAGACCUGAGGGUGAAAGCGGGGGAUCGCAAGACCUCGCGCUAUUGGAGCGGCCGAUAUCAGAUUAGCUAGUUGGUGGGGUAAAGGCCUACCAAGGCAACGAUCUGUAGUUGGUCUGAGAGGACGACCAGCCACACUGGGACUGAGACACGGCCCAGACUCCUACGGGAGGCAGCAGUGGGGAAUUUCGGACAAUGGGCGCAAGCCUGAUCCAGCAAUGCCGCGUGCAGGAAGAAGG